Molecule: ribosomal RNA, 637 nt
Filed under: uncultured bacterium
Lineage: Bacteria
Description: bacterial SSU rRNA
Rfam family: Bacterial small subunit ribosomal RNA
Source: RNAcentral
UAAAGAUUCAUCGCUGAUAGAUAGGCAUGCGUUCCAUUAGGCAGUUGGCGGGGUAACGGCCCACCAAACCGACGAUGGAUAGGGGUUCUGAGAGGAAGGUCCCCCACAUUGGUACUGAGACACGGACCAAACUCCUACGGGAGGCAGCAGUGAGGAAUAUUGGUCAAUGGGCGUAAGCCUGAACCAGCCAAGUCGCGUGAGGGAUGAAGGUUCUAUGGAUCGCAAACCUCUUUUAUAAGGGAAUAAAGUGUGGGACGUGUCCUAUUUUGUAUGUACCUUAUGAAUAAGGAUCGGCUAACUCCGUGCCAGCAGCCGCGGUAAUACGGAGGAUCCGAGCGUUAUCCGGAUUUAUUGGGUUUAAAGGGUGCGUAGGCGGCCUUUUAAGUCAGCGGUGAAAGUCUGUGGCUCAACCAUAGAAUUGCCGUUGAAACUGGGGGGCUUGAGUAUGUUUGAGGCAGGCGGAAUGCGUGGUGUAGCGGUGAAAUGCUUAGAUAUCACGCAGAACCCCGAUUGCGAAGGCAGCCUGCCAAGCCAUGACUGACGCUGAUGCACGAAAGCGUGGGGAUCAAACAGGAUUAGAUACCCUGGUAGUCCACGCAGUAAACGAUGAUCACUAGCUGUUUGCGAUACAGUGUAA